Non-coding RNA from Stegodyphus mimosarum, 73 nucleotides. The record is from Rfam. NCBI's taxonomy places the organism in Eukaryota, Metazoa, Arthropoda, Arachnida, Araneae, Eresidae.
GCCUUCGUGGUGUAAUGGUCAGCACACCGAGCCGGUAUUUCAGAGGUCCGCGGUUCGAUUCCCGGCGAAGGCG